GCGUUGUCCGGAAUGACUGGGCGUAAAGGGCGCGUAGACGGCUGUCUAAGUCUGGAGUGAAAGUCCUGCUUUCAAGGUGGGAAUUGCUUUGGAGACUGGAUGGCUUGAGUGCGGAAGAGGUAAGUGGAAUUCCCAGUGUAGCGGUGAAAUGCGUAGAGGUUGGGAAGAACACCAGUGGCGAAGGCGACUUACUGGGCCGUAACUGACGUUGAUGCGCGAAAGCGUGGGGAGC
Molecule: ribosomal RNA, 232 nt
Filed under: uncultured bacterium
Lineage: Bacteria
Description: partial 16S ribosomal RNA
Rfam family: Bacterial small subunit ribosomal RNA
Source: RNAcentral